This 468-nucleotide ribosomal RNA is filed under the name uncultured bacterium. RNAcentral's name for it is "partial 16S ribosomal RNA". It matches the Rfam family "Bacterial small subunit ribosomal RNA", at positions 28 to 507 of the family's 1533-position model. The record is from RNAcentral.
GACGAACGCUGGCGGCGUGCUUAACACAUGCAAGUCGAACGGACAGGCGCUGCUCUUGUGGGGUGCUCGAGUGGCGAACGGGUGAGUAACACGUGAGUAACCUGCCCCUGACUUUGGGAUAACUUCAGGAAACUGGGGCUAAUACCGGAUAGGAGCUCCUGCUGCAUGGUGGGGGUUGGAAAGUGUCGGCGGUUGGGGAUGGACUCGCGGCUUAUCAGCUUGUUGGUGGGGUAGUGGCUUACCAAGGCUUUGACGGGUAGCCGGCCUGAGAGGGUGACCGGCGACAUUGGGACUGAGAGACGGACCAGAAUCCUACGGGAGGCAGCAGUCGGGAAUAUUGCACAAUGGGCGGAAGCCUGAUGCAGCAACGCCGCGUGCGGGAUGACGGCCUUCGGGUUGUAAACCGCUUUCGCCUGUGACGAAGAGUGAGUGACGGUAAUGGGUAAAGAAGCAACGGCUAACUACGUG